GUGCUCUUCAUAGAUGGAUCCGACCUCUUCCGCUAAGUAGCUGUGUAGUCUUGGGCAAAGUUGCUCACCCUCUCUGUGUCAACCGCUCCGUCUGCAACACAGCUGCUCAGUUGUUUCAGUGUCACAGCCAUGACGCCUUCACUGGAACCUCGUUGGACACUAGGGCCCACAUUCUAGACUACCAAACCAAGGUCGCCUCACUAGCUCCCUUUAUACCCCCUCAACCCCACACGGUAGGCACUAAGGUUUCCACUUCUCAGCUGGGGAGUUAAGGCUCUGGAGGUGAAGGAGUUUGCCCUAGUGGCCUGCAGCCGCGGCAGGGCGGGGGUCCUGACAACCAGGGCAGCAGUGCUCGCAGGGAGCGAUCUCGGGUCCCCAGUUCUCACCGCAGCCCCUGCCAGGCGACACCGGACAGGCACUCCUGGACUCCCAGCCUUCGACUGGGUCUUCGGCCUGGACAGAGCCAGCCCGUGGGACCCUGUCGUCUUCACAGUGAAGACCAGAUGACGUUUUUCGUACUCGGACCAGUCUGCUGCGAAUCAAUUGCGCAGACGCCCUCCUCUAUUCUCCCACCCCCAAUUCCCCCGAAUUCUGUCUCCGCGAGAGCUCGUGCCAACGAAGAGGUCCGCCCCGGCCCAGCCUCCGCUCAUGCGCGCAGAGGCGGUGCCGAGGACUGGGCGGAUCAACCCGCGCGGCUACACCUACCCGCGCGGAGAGGGCGGGGCAUGCAAAUUUAAAAUGGCGCUCCAGCCCGAGGACGGCGAAGCUACCGCAGGUACCGAAUUCCUCUUCUACGGUGUAGAGAAUAAAAAAUCUUCCCGAGAGUGUGGUGUGGUGCCACCCACAGUACUGUCACCGAAGCAAAGGAAGUGAGACCUCGAGUGAGCAGUGACAGGGGUCACACUGAGUCGAAUAUGGAUGCGAGGAGGACGGAGACAGCGAUGGCAGGUCGCUGGGUAUCGCUUCUCGGCCUUUUGGCUAAGAUCAAGUGUAGUAUCUGUUCUUAUCAGUUUAAUAUCUGGUACGUUCUCUACCCGAGAACAUCAUAUUAAACGGAUUUUUGGAUCCCGGAGUCGGGGUGGGAGCUUGCUCCGCCCGCUCCACGCAUCGACCUGGUAUUGCAGUAUUUCCAGGACUGGUGCACCCUUCCCGGGGAAAUAA
Lagenorhynchus albirostris (white-beaked dolphin) is the source of this 1161-nucleotide long non-coding RNA. RefSeq lists it as uncharacterized. The record is from RefSeq and is a predicted model, not a curated record. NCBI's taxonomy places the organism in Eukaryota, Metazoa, Chordata, Mammalia, Artiodactyla, Delphinidae. The transcript has 2 exons.